GUUAGGGGUAUUAAAACAUAUAUUUAGCCCUGGUGAGAAAAACGUAAUAAGAGACCAAUAAAAUUAUGUAUAUUUAAUACAUUUUCAAUUUUGGAUAUCGGCCACAUUUCAAAUGUCCAUUAUACUUGAAUGCACCACUUAGUUGACGUAACCCCAAUGGGGUCAUGGGAGCCUAGGCCCUCAACAGCCAAUCAGGAGCUACGCAGGUCAUGUUCAGUUUAUUAGUGAGGAGGAAGUGUAGACGCGUUGUUUCUUCGGUCCUUUACGAUAUUAGCAGAGGGGAGUAAGUCCGAGAAAGAAGAAAAACGACGAGUACAUAAUUGAAUGAGGCAGAUAAACCAGUGCGCUCACCUGCUGGGAGUCGGGAGCUGAGUGAAUGAAUGAAGGGGAGGAGUUACGACGGUCAGGCUUCUGAGAGGAUGGGAGGGUUUGAUGACCAGGACAAGAUCCCAAUAGUAUUUGAUGGCGAGCUAUUAGCCCUGAAGGCGAAGACACAGACAAGGAGAUACAGGGCUGCAUAAAUCUCCACCGUGGUGGAACCUACAGGAGAACACUAACAUUUUACCAACUUAGAGCUGAGGACAGCGCUGAGCCGUGAGAGAAGAGAGCGUCUGGGUCUGGAAGCAGCCUCAUUAACAGUAAAUAUUAUGUUUGCCGCGCGGAGAGUCAUCAGAUGCGGGCCAACGGCCAAAUCUCCUGAGAGUCGAUCUUCUUUCCUCCAGUUAAACUGUUGCUGCGUGAAUCAUAAGCCCUUUAUCUUUUUAAUUCAUAGAUGAAUCACCCGUCGUGUUGAGUUUGAACUGUGCGGUCGUGUCAAAUUAAGGAAUCCAUCGCAGCCAAAUGACGAGGGACCGCAGGAAGAGCUGUUGUUUCCCUCUGAGCUGUUACUUAGGUAACUGGGGCAGGGGUAAAAAAAGGAACACAUUAACUUUUAUGUCACUGGAAUACCUGAGGCGUCGUGUUUUAAGUGGUUUAUUUUGUCACACUGUCAUGAAUAAUAAGAGGAAACCCCUAAAGAAAAUUUUGUUUAGAGAAUAACUUGUCAAAUUUUUAUAAUUGAAGGUUGCAUUACCGUUAAUGGUGGGUGGUGACCUAAAAGUCAAUUGCAGGAAUGUGU
Cynoglossus semilaevis (tongue sole) is the source of this 1117-nucleotide long non-coding RNA. RefSeq lists it as uncharacterized. The record is from RefSeq and is a predicted model, not a curated record. NCBI's taxonomy places the organism in Eukaryota, Metazoa, Chordata, Actinopteri, Pleuronectiformes, Cynoglossidae. The transcript is spliced from 3 exons.